Molecule: ribosomal RNA, 251 nt
Filed under: uncultured bacterium
Lineage: Bacteria
Description: partial 16S ribosomal RNA
Rfam family: Bacterial small subunit ribosomal RNA
Source: RNAcentral
UACGGAGGGUGCAAACGUUGCUCGGAAUCAUUGGGCGUAAAGCGCACGUAGGCGGCGCGUUAAGUCGGGUGUGAAAGCCCUGGGCUCAACCCAGGAAGUGCAUCGAACUGACGCGCUUGAAUAUGGAAGAGGGUCGCGGAAUUCCCGGUGUAGAGGUGAAAUUCGUAGAUAUCGGGAGGAACACCAGUGGCGAAGGCGGCGACCUGGGCCAAUAUUGACGCUGAGGUGCGAAAGCGUGGGGAGCAAACAGG